CUGACCAAAGAUCUGCUUGAAAAAAUCUCCUUCGAUAAUAGAAACUUCAUUCUAUGACAUCGCCUCUCAUCCUCCUGAGUUUUCUAUCUCGUGUCUGAUCCACCUGCAUCUGGAGCUCUAUCUCGCUCUGAGCUCCCCCUAGCUCUUGAAGCUCCAACUCGCAUUGGGCUCCCUGUCAGGUAGUAAUGUUCUCCUCUGAUCUUCUUUCCUUUCAAUAUCAUCCUAUCGCUGCACAUAACCUUCAAGAUUCUAUCACUAGCAACCCACCUAUAGCCAUUUGAAUCCAGUUUGCUCAGUGAGAUAAGAUUCCAUCUAAAAUUGGAUAUGUAUCGGAUCUUCUCCAAUCUUUCCACUGCACCAUCAUGUUC
This 368-nucleotide long non-coding RNA is filed under the name Elaeis guineensis (African oil palm). RNAcentral describes it as "long non-coding RNA (EGUI_LNC004814)". The record is from RNAcentral. Lineage: Eukaryota; Viridiplantae; Streptophyta; Magnoliopsida; Arecales; Arecaceae.